RNAcentral lists this ribosomal RNA (285 nucleotides) under uncultured bacterium. RNAcentral's name for it is "partial 16S ribosomal RNA". It matches the Rfam family "Bacterial small subunit ribosomal RNA", at positions 364 to 642 of the family's 1533-position model. The record is from RNAcentral.
UUGGACAUGGGCGAAAGCCUGAUCCAGCCAUGCCGCGUGUGUGAAGAAGGUCUUCGGAUUGUAAAGCACUUUAAGUUGGGAGGAAGGGCAGUAAGUUAAUACCUUGCUGUUUUGACGUUACCAACAGAAUAAGCACCGGCUAACUUCGUGCCAGCAGCCGCGGUAAUACGAAGGGUGCAAGCGUUAAUCGGAAUUACUGGGCGUAAAGCGCGCGUAGGUGGUUCAGCAAGUUGGAGGUGAAAUCCCCGGGCUCNACCUGNGAACUGCCUCCCAAACUACUGAGCU